UACGGAGGGUGCGAGCGUUGUCCGGAAUCACUGGGCGUAAAGGGCGCGUAGGCGGCCUGGCAAGUCGAUGGUGAAUGCCCCGGGCUCAACCUGGGAACGGCGCGCGAAACGGGGGGGCUGGAGUUCGGGAGAGGAGCGUGGAAUUCCCAGUGUAGAGGUGAAAUUCGUAGAUAUUCGCAAGAACACCAGUGGCGAAGGCGGCUCACUGGCCCGGUACUGACGCUGAGGUGCGAAAGCGUGGGGAGCAAACAGG
RNAcentral lists this ribosomal RNA (253 nucleotides) under uncultured bacterium. RNAcentral describes it as "partial 16S ribosomal RNA". It matches the Rfam family "Bacterial small subunit ribosomal RNA", at positions 524 to 776 of the family's 1533-position model. The record is from RNAcentral.